This 640-nucleotide ribosomal RNA is filed under the name Staphylococcus aureus. RNAcentral's name for it is "bacterial SSU rRNA". It matches the Rfam family "Bacterial small subunit ribosomal RNA", at positions 158 to 785 of the family's 1533-position model. The record is from RNAcentral. Lineage: Bacteria; Bacillati; Bacillota; Bacilli; Caryophanales; Staphylococcaceae.
CGGAGCUAAUACCGGAUAAUAUUUUGAACCGCAUGGUUCAAAAGUGAAAGACGGUCUUGCUGUCACUUAUAGAUGGAUCCGCGCUGCAUUAGCUAGUUGGUAAGGUAACGGCUUACCAAGGCAACGAUGCAUAGCCGACCUGAGAGGGUGAUCGGCCACACUGGAACUGAGACACGGUCCAGACUCCUACGGGAGGCAGCAGUAGGGAAUCUUCCGCAAUGGGCGAAAGCCUGACGGAGCAACGCCGCGUGAGUGAUGAAGGUCUUCGGAUCGUAAAACUCUGUUAUUAGGGAAGAACAUAUGUGUAAGUAACUGUGCACAUCUUGACGGUACCUAAUCAGAAAGCCACGGCUAACUACGUGCCAGCAGCCGCGGUAAUACGUAGGUGGCAAGCGUUAUCCGGAAUUAUUGGGCGUAAAGCGCGCGUAGGCGGUUUUUUAAGUCUGAUGUGAAAGCCCACGGCUCAACCGUGGAGGGUCAUUGGAAACUGGAAAACUUGAGUGCAGAAGAGGAAAGUGGAAUUCCAUGUGUAGCGGUGAAAUGCGCAGAGAUAUGGAGGAACACCAGUGGCGAAGGCGACUUUCUGGUCUGUAACUGACGCUGAUGUGCGAAAGCGUGGGGAUCAAACAGGAUUAGAUAC